Cicer arietinum (chickpea) is the source of this 2098-nucleotide non-coding RNA. Lineage: Eukaryota; Viridiplantae; Streptophyta; Magnoliopsida; Fabales; Fabaceae. The record is from RefSeq and is a predicted model, not a curated record.
UCCCUUAUUGUUAUCUCUAUAUGUGACAAAUCUUUCAUCUUUGAAGUUUAAUUGGACGAAUCUCUAUAUAAUUCCAAUGUCAAGAUAAUUAGUUCUAACAUGGUUUCCUAUUUUCAAACUAUGGGCAUUUUACAUCAAACGAGUUGUGUUGAAACUCCUCAAUAAAAUGGAGUUGUUGAGAGGAAACAUCAACACAUUUUGAACAUUGCAAAGGGUCUUUUGUAUCAGUCAUGUUUGCCUAUUUUAUUUUGGUGUUACACUAUUCUUUAUGUUGUGCAUAUCAUUAACAUUCUUCCUUCUGUGACAUUGAACAAUAGUUCCCCUUAUUAUUUGCUUCAUGCUCAUAUACCUGACUAUUCCACCUUAAAGGCUUUUUGUUGUUUGUGCUUCGCUAACAAAACUAAAUUUUAACCUCGUGCUAGAAAAUGUAUUCAUUUAGGACAUAAAGAAAGGAGUAAAAGAACCCAAAACUUAUCAAUAAGCUAUCAAACAUGAGGCUUGGAAAAUUUCCAUGGAUAAUGAAAUUCAUGCUCUACAAAUGAACAAUACUUGGGAACUCAUCGAGUUACCUCUUGGAAAGGCUAUUAUCGGUUGUAAAUGAGUCUUCAAAAAGAAGUUCAAGGCUGAUGGUAGUCUAGAAAGGCACAAGGCUCGCUGUUGCAAAAUGUUAUACUCAACAAGAAGGGGUCGAUUUUUUUGAAACUUUUUCUCCCGUGGUAAAAAUGACUACUGUCCAUCUUGUUUUUGCUUUGGCGGCUGCCAAGUGAUGAAUUUACAACAGUUAGAUAUAUAUAAGGAUUUUCUUCAUGGUGACCUCAAGGAAUAGGUCUACAUGCAUAUUCCCCCUGGAUUCCAAUCUCCUCAUUAUAACUUAGUUUGAAAAUUAAAAAAAUCUUUCUAUGGGCUUACACAAGCUAGUAGAAAUUUGAACCAAAAACUUACCAAUACUCUCAUUAGCUUGGGAUAUACCCAAUCUUUACAUGAUUACUCUUUUUUUUUUUUAAUCAAAUUUCAUGUUUGUCACUUUACUGUUUUAUUGAUGUAUGUAGAUGAUAUAGUUUUAGCCAUGGACGACAUUCAUGAUAUUAAUUCUAUCAAACAACUUCUCCAUUCUUCAUUCCAAAUCAAAGACCUUGGAGCACUUAAAUUUUUCUUGGGUCUUGAGGUAGUAAGAUCAAGCAAAAGAAUCUCUCUUAAUAAACACAAAUAUGUUUUGGAACUCAUUGAUGACAUGAGUCUCCUUUAAUGCAAACCGGUGUCCACUCCCAUGAUUCCAAAUCUCAAACUGUCCGCAACAGAAGACACUCCUUUCUCAUAUCAAAAACUAUUUCGACGACUGAUUGGUCGCCUCAUCUAUCUUACCAACACUAUACCAGAUCUCUCUUACGCUGUUAACAAACUCUGUCAAUUUGUCUCCUUUCCCAUGCAAACUCAUUUUCAUGCUGCCACUCAGAUUACCUGUUAUUUAAAAGGCUGCUCGGGCAAAUGUCUCUUAUUUUCUUCCUCUUCCGACAUCAGUUUAUCUGCACUCAACGACAAUGAUUGGACAUCAUGCCCCGAUUCUAGACUCUCCAUCAUUGGCUUCAAUAUCUUCCUUGUUUCAUCUUUAAUUUCAUGGAAGACAAAGGAACAAAACGUAGUUUCUCGUUCUUCUUCGGAGGCUGGAUACUGUGCUUUAGCCAACACAUCUUGUGAAGUUCAAUGGUUACUUUAUCUUUUUCACGGUCUUCACUUUCCCAUGACGAAACAUGUUCCCAUAUAUUAUGACAACAAAUAUGCCAUCUAAAUUGCUCAAAAUCCUAUUUUUCAUGAACGCACCAAACACAUAUAGUUAGAUUGUCACCUAGUUCAUGACAAGUUAAUGUUAGGCAUCAUUUAUCUUCUCCCUGUUUUUUCCUCGAACCAGUUAGCAGACAUUCACACCAAACUUCUUCAUUCCAUUUAUCCAAGCUACACAUGAUUGACAUCUAUGAUCCAACUUAAAGGAGACUGUUAGAUUAUAAUUAGUUUACCUUGUUUGUGUAAUUUUACUGAAUCUAUUGUAGUAUAAAUACUGUAUACCUUUACCUUUUUAAUUAAGAAAAAUAAUUACUUUCAA